GACGAACGCUGGCGGCGUGCUUAACACAUGCAAGUCGAACGGAAAGGCCCUGCUUUUGUGGGGUGCUCGAGUGGCGAACGGGUGAGUAACACGUGAGUAACCUGCCCUUGACUUUGGGAUAACUUCAGGAAACUGGGGCUAAUACCGGAUAGGAGCUCCUGCUGCAUGGUGGGGGUUGGAAAGUUUCGGCGGUUGGGGAUGGACUCGCGGCUUAUCAGCUUGUUGGUGGGGUAGUGGCUUACCAAGGCUUUGACGGGUAUCCGGCUUGAGAGGGUGACCGGCCACAUUGGGACUGAGAUACGGCCCAGACUCCUACGGGAGGCAGCAGUGGGGAAUAUUGCACAAUGGGCGGAAGCCUGAUGCAGCAACGCCGCGUGCGGGAUGACGGCCUUCGGGUUGUAAACCGCUUUCGCCUGUGACGAAGCGUGAGUGACGGUAAUGGGUAAAGAAGCACCGGCUAACUACGUG
RNAcentral lists this ribosomal RNA (468 nucleotides) under uncultured bacterium. Its description in RNAcentral is "partial 16S ribosomal RNA". It matches the Rfam family "Bacterial small subunit ribosomal RNA", at positions 28 to 507 of the family's 1533-position model. The record is from RNAcentral.